Setaria italica (foxtail millet) is the source of this 998-nucleotide long non-coding RNA. RefSeq lists it as uncharacterized. The record is from RefSeq and is a predicted model, not a curated record. Lineage: Eukaryota; Viridiplantae; Streptophyta; Magnoliopsida; Poales; Poaceae. The transcript has 3 exons.
CCCCCCCCCCCCCCCCACCCAGUCUCCCUGUGCCGCCGGUACCAGCUCCUCCCAGGGUUCACCUGUUCCACGCCCCGGCGCCCAUCCUCAUCUUCUCCUCGAGGCCCCGAUUCCUCCCCCUGCUGCUCCAGCUCCCGCUCUCGCGCUUCCUCCGCAAGCGGCUGCAGUGCCGGCGCUCCCUCAGCCGCCGCCUGCGGCACCCAUCUCCAGCUACAUGCCGCCUCCUCGCCCCCCUCAGCAGCAAACUGGUUCGAUGCUCCCGCCCCCGUCUCCAAAAGUGACGGCGAAGGGGAGACCCAUGCCCAACUCACAGAUGGAAAUUGUUCUCGUAUUCUUCAUGUCCCUGGCAGAAAAUCUCAUGGCCUUUUUCCUGAUGUCGAAAGAAAUUUCCAAGAUGAUAUUAUUUGAGAAAUGUCCCAGUGGAAAAAAAAAUGUAAUUAUUGAUUUUCGGAUGAGAUCAGAUCGUCAUAACAUAUAUGAUAUAGUAUCAUAGUGUUCAUAUGAAAAUCUCACCCCUGACCUCAUUCUGUGAAGAAGAGAGCAUUGCUUGGAUGAGUAUUUGGGAAACCAGUUCUUGGCACGUCAGAUAUUUCAACAGCCCAUUACACAUAGUUGAACUUUUUGCAAGCACAGCCAUAUCUUGUUACCAGAACUGCCAAAUUACAUAUAUUAACUCUACAUCAGGUUUGCAACAUUGAAGGCAACGGAAUAUAUUGUCCUAUCUGCUCGUGGUAGUCAGGUACAUCUCCGUGGUGUGAAACACGAGACAAAAUAGGAACCUUGGAUUGGUACAGAUAAUCCUACUCUGAAUAUUCAUUUCUGGAGCGAUAUUGUCCAGAUAAGGUCAGAAUCAGAGAUGAAAUGCAUUGUAAACGUCAAUUUCUGUUGCUAAACCAAUGCUAUGCAAGAUAAGGAUGAGGCUCACCUAAAUUCCACCGGAGUCCGGUGGUGGUGGUGCUUGUCGAUGGCAUGCCAAUUGGGAUCAACCCACAGUGGGG